CCCCGUAGCUCAGUUGGUAGAGCAUGGUGUUUGCAACGCCAGGGGUUGUGGGUUCGAUUCCCACGGGGG
RNAcentral lists this transfer RNA (69 nucleotides) under Salmo salar (Atlantic salmon). It matches the Rfam family "tRNA". Rfam says of the family: Transfer RNA (tRNA) molecules are approximately 80 nucleotides in length. Their secondary structure includes four short double-helical elements and three loops (D, anti-codon, and T loops). Further hydrogen bonds mediate the characteristic L-shaped molecular structure. tRNAs have two regions of fundamental functional importance: the anti-codon, which is responsible for specific mRNA codon recognition, and the 3' end, to which the tRNAs corresponding amino acid is attached (by aminoacyl-tRNA synthetases). tRNAs cope with the degeneracy of the genetic code in two manners: having more than one tRNA (with a specific anti-codon) for a particular amino acid; and 'wobble' base-pairing, i.e. permitting non-standard base-pairing at the 3rd anti-codon position. Lineage: Eukaryota; Metazoa; Chordata; Actinopteri; Salmoniformes; Salmonidae. The record is from Rfam by way of RNAcentral.